RNAcentral lists this ribosomal RNA (420 nucleotides) under uncultured Rhodocyclaceae bacterium. RNAcentral describes it as "bacterial SSU rRNA". It matches the Rfam family "Bacterial small subunit ribosomal RNA", at positions 964 to 1382 of the family's 1533-position model. Lineage: Bacteria; Pseudomonadati; Pseudomonadota; Betaproteobacteria; Rhodocyclales; Rhodocyclaceae. The record is from RNAcentral.
GAAAACCUUACCUACCCUUGACAUGUCCGGAAUCCCGAAGAGAUUUGGGAGUGCUCGCAAGAGAACCGGAACACAGGUGCUGCAUGGCUGUCGUCAGCUCGUGUCGUGAGAUGUUGGGUUAAGUCCCGCAACGAGCGCAACCCUUGUCAUUAGUUGCCAUCAUUUGGUUGGGCACUCUAAUGAGACUGCCGGUGACAAACCGGAGGAAGGUGGGGAUGACGUCAAGUCCUCAUGGCCCUUAUGGGUAGGGCUUCACACGUCAUACAAUGGUCGGUACAGAGGGUUGCCAACCCGCGAGGGGGGAGCUAAUCCCACAAAGCCGAUCGUAGUCCGGAUCGCAGUCUGCAACUCGACUGCGUGAAGUCGGAAUCGCUAGUAAUCGUGGAUCAGCAUGUCACGGUGAAUACGUUCCCGGGUCUU